This 496-nucleotide ribosomal RNA is filed under the name uncultured bacterium. RNAcentral describes it as "partial 16S ribosomal RNA". It matches the Rfam family "Bacterial small subunit ribosomal RNA", at positions 29 to 507 of the family's 1533-position model. The record is from RNAcentral.
AUGAACGCUGGCGGCGUGCCUAAUACAUGCAAGUCGAGCGAACAGAUGAGGAGCUUGCUCCUCUGACGUUAGCGGCGGACGGGUGAGUAACACGUGGAUAACCUACCUAUAAGACUGGGAUAACUUCGGGAAACCGGAGCUAAUACCGGAUAAUAUAUUGAACCGCAUGGUUCAAUAGUGAAAGACGGUUUUGCUGUCACUUAUAGAUGGAUCCGCGCCGCAUUAGCUAGUUGGUAAGGUAACGGCUUACCAAGGCAACGAUGCGUAGCCGACCUGAGAGGGUGAUCGGCCACACUGGAACUGAGACACAGUCCAGACUCCUACGGGAGGCAGCAGUAGGGAAUCUUCCGCAAUGGGCGAAAGCCUGACGUAGCAACGCCGCGUGAGUGAUGAAGGUCUUCGGAUCGUAAAACUCUGUUAUUAGGGAAGAACAAAUGUGUAAGUAACUAUGCACGUCUUGACGGUACCUAAUCAGAAAGCCACGGCUAACUACGUG